This 301-nucleotide ribosomal RNA is filed under the name uncultured bacterium. Its description in RNAcentral is "partial 16S ribosomal RNA". It matches the Rfam family "Bacterial small subunit ribosomal RNA", at positions 510 to 808 of the family's 1533-position model. The record is from RNAcentral.
CGCCGCCGCGGGAAUACGUAGGUGGCAAACGUUGUCCGGAAUUAUUGGGCGUAAAGGGCUCGCAGGCGGUUUCUUAAGUCUGAUGUGAAAGCCCCCGGCUCAACCGGGGAGGGUCAUUGGAAACUGGGAAACUUGAGUGCAGAAGAGGAGAGUGGAGUUCCACGUGUAGCGGUGAAAUGCGUAGAGAUGUGGAGGAACACCAGUGGCGAAGGCGACUCUCUGGUCUGUAACUGACGCUGAGGAGCGAAAGCGUGGGGAGCGAACAGGAUUAGAUACCCCAGUAGUCCCUGUCUCUUAUACA